GACAGAGGGUGCAAACGUUGUUCGGAAUUACUGGGCGUAAAGCGCGUGUAGGCGGCCCUGCAAGUCGGAUAUGAAAUCCCACGGCUCAACCGUGGAAGUGCAUUCGAAACUGCAGGGCUAGAGUCCUGGAGAGGAAGGUGGAAUGCUUGGUGUAGAGGUGAAAUUCGUAGAUAUCAAGCGGAACACCGGUGGCGAAGGCGGCCUUCUGGACAGUGACUGACGCUGAGACGCGAAAGCGUGGGGAGCAAACAGG
RNAcentral lists this ribosomal RNA (253 nucleotides) under uncultured bacterium. Its description in RNAcentral is "partial 16S ribosomal RNA". It matches the Rfam family "Bacterial small subunit ribosomal RNA", at positions 524 to 776 of the family's 1533-position model. The record is from RNAcentral.